ACGGUCCUAAGGUAGCGAAAUUCCUUGUCGGGUAAGUUCCGACCUGCACGAAUGGCAUAAUGAUGGCCAGGCUGUCUCCACCCGAGACUCAGUGAAAUUGAAAUCGCCGUGAAGAUGCGGUGUACCCGCGGCUAGACGGAAAGACCCCGUGAACCUUUACUAUAGCUUGACACUGAACAUUGAAUUUUGAUGUGUAGGAUAGGUGGGAGACUUUGAAGUAGUCACGCCAGUGAUUAUGGAGUCGUCCUUGAAAUACCACCCUUUAACGUUUGAUGUUCUAACGAAGAUUACGAAACGUGGUCUCGGACAGUGUCUGGUGGGUAGUUUGACUGGGGCGGUCUCCUCCCAAAGAGUAACGGAGGAGCACGAAGGUUUGCUAAUGACGGUCGGACAUCGUCAGGUUAGUGCAAUGGUAUAAGCAAGCUUAACUGCGAGACAGACAAGUCGAGCAGGUACGAAAGUAGGUCAUAGUGAUCCGGUGGUUCUGAAUGGAAGGGCCAUCGCUCAACGGAUAAAAGGUACUCCGGGGAUAACAGGCUGAUACCGCCCAAGAGUUCAUAUCGACGGCGGUGUUUGGCACCUCGAUGUCGGCUCAUCACAUCCUGGGGCUGAAGUAGGUCCCAAGGGUAUGGCUGUUCGCCAUUUAAAGUGGUACGCGAGCUGGGUUUAGAACGUCGUGAGACAGUUCGGUCCCUAUCUGCCGUGGGCGUUGGAGAAUUGAUUGGGGCUGCUCCUAGUACGAGAGGACCGGAGUGGACGCACCACUGGUGUUCCGGUUGUGUCGCCAGACGCAUUGCCGGGUAGCUAAGUGCGGAAGAGAUAAGUGCUGAAAGCAUCUAAGCACGAAACUUGCCAAGAGAUGAGUUCUCCCAGAUUUUAAAUCUGUAAGGGUUGUUUAAGACUAAGACGUAGAUAGGUCUGGUGUGUAAGCGGUGCGAGCCGUUGAGCUAACAGAUACUAAUUGCCCGAGAGGCUUAACUAU
This 982-nucleotide ribosomal RNA is filed under the name human gut metagenome. Its description in RNAcentral is "bacterial LSU rRNA". It matches the Rfam family "Bacterial large subunit ribosomal RNA", at positions 1945 to 2925 of the family's 2925-position model. The record is from RNAcentral.